GCUCCCAUGGCGUAGUGGUCACUGCGCUCGCCUUGCACGCGGGAGACCCGGGUUCGAUUCCCGGUAGGGUCA
This 72-nucleotide transfer RNA is filed under the name Diaphorina citri (Asian citrus psyllid). It matches the Rfam family "tRNA". From Rfam's summary of the family: Transfer RNA (tRNA) molecules are approximately 80 nucleotides in length. Their secondary structure includes four short double-helical elements and three loops (D, anti-codon, and T loops). The record is from Rfam by way of RNAcentral. Lineage: Eukaryota; Metazoa; Arthropoda; Insecta; Hemiptera; Psyllidae.